Molecule: ribosomal RNA, 1566 nt
Filed under: Triticum aestivum (bread wheat)
Lineage: Eukaryota; Viridiplantae; Streptophyta; Magnoliopsida; Poales; Poaceae
Description: partial small subunit ribosomal RNA
Source: RNAcentral
AUGAUGUUCGCCGACGAUGAGAACCCUGCUCCCUUGAACAAAGGGAGCACCAAGGGGCUAGUAAAGAUCAAGAAGCCGGCGUACAGCAGGGACGACGUGUCGCUGAAGGCCGACGAGGUGACGGCGGUGGUAGAGCUGAACGCCGCGCCCAGCGCCGUGGUGAGGGAGGGGCUGGACCUGGUGGUGGUGCUGGAUGUGAGCGGCAGCAUGGCGGCGGAGAAGCUUGUCAGCAUGAAGCAGGCGAUGCAGUUCGUGAUCAUGAAGCUCACCCCCGUGGACCGUCUCUCCAUCGUCACCUGCAACAACAGCGCCAAAAGGCACUGCGCGCUGCGCUCCAUGACGGUGGAUGCCCAGAAGGAGCUCAAGGCCGUGGUCGACGGCCUGGAGGCCUAUGGCGGGACCAACAUCAAGAGUGGCCUCGAGACGGCGCGGGCAAUCUUCGCCGCCCGCAACAUCGUAAAAUCCCGCAGCGCCAACGUCUUCCUCUUGUCCGACGGCCAGCAGACCGCCAACGAAGCCACGGAUGUGGAUCUUGGCAGCGCGGGAGUCUACACGUUCGGUCUCGGCAAGGACUCAGAUCACAAGCUGCUCAGCGACAUCGCCAAGAAAUCCCCCGGCGGGACGUUCAGCACCGUGGUGGACGGGUCGAACCUGACCAAGCCCUUCGCCCAGAUGCUGGGUGGCCUCCUCACCGUGGUCGCGCAGGACGUGCGGCUCAUCCUCACACCCAAGAAAGCGGACGGCCUGAAGGAUAUGGUGGUGCCCGAAGACACCGACUACACCAAGACCACGGACGCCGCCGGCGUCAUCACCAUCCACUUCGGCACCCUCUUCAGCGGAGAGUCGCGCAAGGUCACCGUCAAGAUGACGCUCUCGGAGUGCGCCGUCGGCACGACGCGCCAUGACGCGGUCUUGGCCGAGGCCCAACACAGCUACAGCGCCCAGUCGAUUGUGCAGGGUCUCCAAACCCCCGAGAACCUCAAGAUCUUCCGCACCCCGAACCCAGCCACCGUCGCCGGCAGCAAGGCGCGUUGGGUGCUGGCCGAGCUGGCGCGGCGGCGGCAGGCCGAGGCGAUCAGGAAGGCCAUGGCCCUGGCGGACACCGGUGACCUCGACGGGGCGCGCUACUUGCUUGUAGACGCGCAGAAUGCACUGGAGGACGUCUUGCUGGACGAUGGCCAGAAGCUGAUCGACUCGCUCCGCGCCGAGCUCGUGCAGCUCAUCAAGCUCAUGGCCUCCAAGCAACUCUACGAGGCGCAGGGCCGCCCCUACGCGCUCGCCUCCGAUACCUCCCAUGCCCGCCAGCGGUUCGCUGACAGGGGCGACGUCACGGACACCGUCCGCCUCUUCGCCACGCCGCGCAUGGACACGUACCUCGAGCAGGCCAAGCAGUUCGACAAGGACCCCACCAAGCCGCUGCCCUCCGCCGCCGAUGACGUCAAGGAAGAGAUCGCCGCCAACCCCAUGGCCGCCUUCUCCUCCGAGCUCGCCUUUUACCUCCGGAACGCAAUCGAGGCUCUGCAGGCCAUCGAGAAGAUGGUCGCCGCCCCCACCGCCACCGCCUAG